AAAGACACAGAGAAGCCCUUAGAAGUGGACUCCAUUUCAUUGUCAAAACUACAAAACCUUUGACACAUUUUAAAAGAUUAGGUAGAGGACAUACAGUUGCUUACGGCCAUACCUCUCUGGCUCUGCCUGAUCUCGUCAGAUCUCAGAAGCUAAGCAGAGUAGGGCCUGGUUAGUACUUGGAUGGAAGACCGCCUGGGAAUCCCAGGUGCCGUAAGCUUUUUCAUUUCUCUCUCUGGAAGAAAUCGAGAAGGCCUUAGAAAGUGACUCCUUUUUCAUUAUCAAAACUCCAAAACCUUUGACACAUUUUAAAAGAUUAGGAAGAGGACAUACAGUUGCUUACGGCCAUACCUCUCUGGCUCUGCCUGAUCUCGUCUGAUCUCAGAAGCUAAGCAGAGUAGGGCCUGGUUAGUACUUGGAUGGAAGACCGCCUGGGAAUCCCAGGUGCUGUAAGCUUUUUCAUUUCGAUCUGUAAAAGACACAGAGAAGGCCUUAGAAAGUGACUCCAUUUAAUUGUCAAAACUACAAAACCUUUGACACAUUUUAAAAGAUUAGGAAGAGGACAUACAGUUGCUUACGGCCAUACCUCUCUGGCUCCGCCUGAUCUCGUCAGAUCUCAGAAGCUAAGCAGAGUAGGGCCUGGUUAGUACUUGGAUGGAAGACUGCUUGGGAAUCCCAGGUGCCGUAAGCUUUUUCAUUUCUCUCUCUGGAAGAAAUUGAGAAGGCAUUAGAAAGUGAAUCCUUUUUCAUUAUCAAAACUCCAAAACCUUUGACACAUUUUAAAAGAUUAGGAAGAGGACAUACAGUUGCUUACGGCCAUACCUCUCUGGCUCCGCCUGAUCUCGUCUGAUCUCAGAAGCUAAGCAGAGUAGGGCCUGGUUAGUACUUGGAUGGAAGACCGCCUGGGAAUCCCAGGUGCCGUAAGCUUUUUCAUUUCUAUCUGUAAAAGACACAGAGAAGAACUUAGAAAGUGACUCCAUUUCAUUGUCAAAACUACAAAACCUUUGACACAUUUUAAAAGAUUAGGAAGAGGACAUACAGUUGCUUACGGCCAUACCUCUCUGGCUCCGCCUGAUCUCGUCUGAUCUCAGAAGCUAAGCAGAGUAGGGCCUGGUUAGUACUUGGAUGGAAGACCGCCUGGGAAUCCCAGGUGCCGUAAGCUUUUUCAUUUCUCUCUCUGGAAGAAAUUGAGAAGGCAUUAGAAAGUGAAUCCUUUUUCAUUAUCAAAACUCCAAAACCUUUGACACAUUUUAAAAGAUUAGGAAGAGGACAUACAGUUGCUUACGGCCAUACCUC
Long non-coding RNA from Gasterosteus aculeatus aculeatus (three-spined stickleback), 1293 nucleotides. NCBI's taxonomy places the organism in Eukaryota, Metazoa, Chordata, Actinopteri, Perciformes, Gasterosteidae. The record is from Ensembl.